RNAcentral lists this ribosomal RNA (505 nucleotides) under uncultured bacterium. RNAcentral's name for it is "bacterial SSU rRNA". It matches the Rfam family "Bacterial small subunit ribosomal RNA", at positions 8 to 507 of the family's 1533-position model. The record is from RNAcentral.
AGAGUUUGAUCAUGGCUCAGAUUGAACGCUGGCGGCAUGCUUUACACAUGCAAGUCGAACGGCAGCACGGGGGCAACCCUGGUGGCGAGUGGCGAACGGGUGAGGAAUACGUCGGAAUCUGCCCAGUCGUGGGGGAUAACUAGCCGAAAGGUUAGCUAAUACCGCAUACGACCGAGAGGUGAAAGCGGGGGGACCGCAAGGCCUCGCGCGAUUGGAUGAGCCGACGUCGGAUUAGCUAGUUGGCGGGGUAAAGGCCCACCAAGGCGACGAUCCGUAGCGGGUCUGAGAGGAUGAUCCGCCACACUGGGACUGAGACACGGCCCAGACUCCUACGGGAGGCAGCAGUGGGGAAUUUUGGACAAUGGGCGCAAGCCUGAUCCAGCCAUGCCGCGUGAGUGAAGAAGGCCUUCGGGUUGUAAAGCUCUUUCGGUGGGGAAGAAAUUGCUUCGGUUAAUACCUGGAGUAGAUGACGGUACCCGCAUAAGAAGCACCGGCUAACUACGUG